AUGCAGUCGACGGUAGCACAGAGAGCUUGCUCUCGGGUGACGAGUGGCGGACGGGUGAGUAAUGUCUGGGAAACUGCCUGAUGGAGGGGGAUAACUACUGGAAACGGUAGCUAAUACCGCAUAACGUCGCAAGACCAAAGAGGGGGACCUUCGGGCCUCUUGCCAUCAGAUGUGCCCAGAUGGGAUUAGCUAGUAGGUGGGGUAACGGCUCACCUAGGCGACGAUCCCUAGCUGGUCUGAGAGGAUGACCAGCCACACUGGAACUGAGACACGGUCCAGACUCCUACGGGAGGCAGCAGUGGGGAAUAUUGCACAAUGGGCGCAAGCCUGAUGCAGCCAUGCCGCGUGUAUGAAGAAGGCCUUCGGGUUGUAAAGUACUUUCAGCGGGGAGGAAGGUGUUGUGGUUAAUAACCGCAGCAAUUGACGUUACCCGCAGAAGAAGCACCGGCUAACUCCGUGCCAGCAGCCGCGGUAAUACGGAGGGUGCAAGCGUUAAUCGGAAUUACUGGGCGUAAAGCGCACGCAGGCGGUCUGUCAAGUCGGAUGUGAAAUCCCCGGGCUCAACCUGGGAACUGCAUUCGAAACUGGCAGGCUAGAGUCUUGUAGAGGGGGGUAGAAUUCCAGGUGUAGCGGUGAAAUGCGUAGAGAUCUGGAGGAAUACCGGUGGCGAAGGCGGCCCCCUGGACAAAGACUGACGCUCAGUGCGAAAGCGUGGGGGAGCAAACAGGAUUAGAUACCCUGGUAGUCCACGCCGUAAACGAUGUCGACUUGGAGGUUGUGCCCUUUGAGGCGUGGCUUCCGGAGCUAACGCGUUAAGUCGACCGCCUGGGGAGUACGGCCGCAAGGAAGGUUAAAACUCAAAUGAAUUGACGGGGGCCCGCACAAGCGGUGGAGCAUGUGGUUUAAUUCGAUGCAACGCGAAGAACCUUACCUACUCUUGACAUCCAGAGAACUUUCCAGAGAUGGAUUGGUGCCUUCGGGAACUCUGAGACAGGUGCUGCAUGGCUGUCGUCAGCUCGUGUUGUGAAAUGUUGGGUUAAGUCCCGCAACGAGCGCAACCCUUAUCCUUUGUUGCCAGCGGUCCGGCCGGGAACUCAAAGGAGACUGCCAGUGAUAAACUGGAGGAAGGUGGGGAUGACGUCAAGUCAUCAUGGCCCUUACGAGUAGGGCUACACACGUGCUACAAUGGCGCAUACAAAGAGAAGCGAACUCGCGAGAGCAAGCGGACCUCAUAAAGUGCGUCGUAGUCCGGAUUGGAGUCUGCAACUCGACUCCAUGAAGUCGGAAUCGCUAGUAAUCGUAGAUCAGAAUGCUACGGUGAAUACGUUCCCGGGCCUUGUACACACCGCCCGUCACACCAUGGGAGUGGGUUGCAAAAGAAGUAGGUAGCUUAACCUCGGG
This 1401-nucleotide ribosomal RNA is filed under the name Enterobacter cloacae. Its description in RNAcentral is "bacterial SSU rRNA". It matches the Rfam family "Bacterial small subunit ribosomal RNA". Lineage: Bacteria; Pseudomonadati; Pseudomonadota; Gammaproteobacteria; Enterobacterales; Enterobacteriaceae. The record is from RNAcentral.